RNAcentral lists this ribosomal RNA (404 nucleotides) under Verrucomicrobiota bacterium. Its description in RNAcentral is "Verrucomicrobia bacterium partial 16S ribosomal RNA". It matches the Rfam family "Bacterial small subunit ribosomal RNA", at positions 355 to 776 of the family's 1533-position model. Lineage: Bacteria; Pseudomonadati; Verrucomicrobiota. The record is from RNAcentral.
UGGGGAAUAUUGCACAAUGGGGGAAACCCUGAUGCAGCGACGCCGCGUGAGCGAUGAAGGCUUUCGAGUCGUAAAGCCCUUUCCUAUGGGAAGAUAAUGACGGUACCAUAGAAGAAAGCCCCCGCUAAUUACGUGCCAGUAGCCGCCGUAAUACGUAAGUGGCGAGCGUUGUCCGGAAUUAUUGGGCGUAAAGAGUGCGUAGGCGGCAAAUUAAUUCAGAUGAGAAAGCUAAGGGCUCAACCCAUAGAUUGCAUCUGGAACUGAUAUGCUUGAGUCAAGGAGAGGAAAGUGGAAUUCCUAGUGUAGCGGUGGAAUGCGUAGAUGUUAGGAGAAAUACCGAUGGCGAAGGAGACUUUCUGGACUUGAACAGACGCUGAGGAACGAAAGCAUGGGGAGCAAACAGG